GGACAGAGUUUUGUAGAUGGAAAGGAUGAUUUUCUCACGGGCUAUUAUCUGGCUUCCUGGGUGGAAUCAUUGUUGCAGUGGUCCUUGUUCAUGGGAUGCAGGGAUCUAGAAGUCACAUCCCAGGUGCUGCAAAGCUUGGCACCUGACAACCCCUUCUCAUACGCUCCCUCCUUCUCUGCACUCUGGACACUGGUUUUCUUUGCCAUUUGGAGGCCUUUGUUCAUGCCGGUCCUCGAACAAGAAGGUCGUCUUUUCCCGGCACCGUAUCUUCUUGGUUAACUUCUGUUUUCAGACUUUUAACUCAGGCAUAACUCACUCAGAGAAGCUGUCACUGAUCUCCCAGAUGAGUUCAACUUUCCCUUAUUAUUAUUUCUUAAAAUUAUGUGUCUCAUUUUCAGUCUUACUUUAGCUAUAAUUUCUGUGGUUCCUUGAUUAGCACAUAUCUCUCCCAAUAGACCAGAAACUCUUUUGGAGGCAGAAAUGUAUUGAUGCCUUAAAAAAACUUUUAUAUUUUUGCACAUUGUUCUCUCUCUUGUAUAUCACAGCACUCAAAAACAACCAAAAAAUGAAUGACUGAAUGAGCUAAUGAAAUAUCAUUACUAUACCUUUGUAUAAAUAACGAAACCUGCUUCUUUGCCCCAAGCAUUGACUGUUAGCUCAGAACUGUCACUAACAAUGGUGAUGGAUGGUGCUGGGAAGAAGCUUUUGGACCCAUCACGAGUAGCACACAGUGCAAGAUCCAGAGUGUACAGCACACCGUGCUCAGUAAAGUGCUUGGGCAAAUUCCUCUGAUCCUUAUCACAAUCCUAUAACAGUCGGUGUAAUACCAUUUCCUUUUUACAAAGGUGGCAUACUAAGGUUAGAGGGGAAAUGAGUUUACUUAAUGCUAUGGAGCUAUUAAAUGGUAGAGCACUGCCUUUGACCCAAGUUGCUUCUUAGUCUAUUUCUCAUUCAAAAUAUUUGUGUUCGUAUAGUGUAAAACCAUAAAAGGGAAAUAUUUCAUUAUGGAUUUCUCAUAUAAAUUUAAAAUAUAGUCAUUGUAUCUCUACGUAAAACAAAAGGCUCAUUGUAUAAAACAGCUACAUUUCAUACUGAAUAUUCUGGGCCUUCCUAUUCUCAUCUUUAAUUUAUAUAUUCCAGUGUUUUAGACACAAUCUUAGGCACAGAAACUUCCUAAGUUAUGUACUAGAAUCUCUCGAGGGAGAGUUAUAUAAAUGAAGAGUCACUCUUGGCUUUGUAACGGCACCUUAAAUAUUCCAUCUUGAUGCUUUGUGCCUAC
RNAcentral lists this long non-coding RNA (1279 nucleotides) under Sus scrofa (pig). Its description in RNAcentral is "lncRNA (ENSSSCG00060026745.1)". Lineage: Eukaryota; Metazoa; Chordata; Mammalia; Artiodactyla; Suidae. The record is from RNAcentral.